UACGUAGGGUGCAAGCGUUAAUCGGAAUUACUGGGCGUAAAGCGUGCGCAGGCGGUUUUGUAAGUCUGAUGUGAAAUCCCCGGGCUCAACCUGGGAACUGCAUCUGUGACUGCAUCGCUGGAGUGCGGCAGAGGGGGAUGGAAUUCCGCGUGUAGCAGUGAAAUGCGUAGAUAUGCGGAGGAACACCGAUGGCGAAGGCAAUCCCCUGGGCCUGCACUGACGCUCAUGUACGAAAGCGUGGGGAGCAAACAGG
This 253-nucleotide ribosomal RNA is filed under the name uncultured bacterium. RNAcentral describes it as "partial 16S ribosomal RNA". It matches the Rfam family "Bacterial small subunit ribosomal RNA", at positions 524 to 776 of the family's 1533-position model. The record is from RNAcentral.